CCUACGGGAGGCAGCAGUGGGGAAUAUUGGACAAUGGGCGAAAGCCUGAUCCAGCAAUGCCGCGUGUGUGAAGAAGGUCUUCGGAUUGUAAAGCACUUUCGGCGGGGAGGCGGUACCCGCAGAAGAAGCCCCGGCUAACUUCGUGCCAGCAGCCGCGGUAAUACGAAGGGGGCGAGCGUUGCUCGGAAUGACUGGGCGUAAAGGGCGCGUAGGUGGUGUGGACAGUCAGAUGUGAAAUUCCUGGGCUCAACCUGGGGGCUGCAUUUGAUACGUCCAAACUAGAGUGUGGAAGAGGGUCGUGGAAUUCCCAGUGUAGAGGUGAAAUUCGUAGAUAUUGGGAAGAACACCGGUGGCGAAGGCGGCGACCUGGUCCAUACUGACGCUGAGGCGCGAAAGCGUGGGGAGCAAACAGGAUUAGAUACCCUUGUAGUC
This 432-nucleotide ribosomal RNA is filed under the name uncultured bacterium. Its description in RNAcentral is "partial 16S ribosomal RNA". It matches the Rfam family "Bacterial small subunit ribosomal RNA", at positions 338 to 795 of the family's 1533-position model. The record is from RNAcentral.